UGGGACGUAGUGUAAUGGAAACACCAGGAGUUUUGGACCCCUGAAUAGAGGUUCAAGUCCUUUUUUCCCAU
Molecule: transfer RNA, 71 nt
Filed under: Hyphessobrycon herbertaxelrodi
Lineage: Eukaryota; Metazoa; Chordata; Actinopteri; Characiformes; Acestrorhamphidae
Description: tRNA-Gln
Rfam family: tRNA
About the family: Transfer RNA (tRNA) molecules are approximately 80 nucleotides in length. Their secondary structure includes four short double-helical elements and three loops (D, anti-codon, and T loops). Further hydrogen bonds mediate the characteristic L-shaped molecular structure. tRNAs have two regions of fundamental functional importance: the anti-codon, which is responsible for specific mRNA codon recognition, and the 3' end, to which the tRNAs corresponding amino acid is attached (by aminoacyl-tRNA synthetases). tRNAs cope with the degeneracy of the genetic code in two manners: having more than one tRNA (with a specific anti-codon) for a particular amino acid; and 'wobble' base-pairing, i.e. permitting non-standard base-pairing at the 3rd anti-codon position.
Source: RNAcentral